Molecule: microRNA precursor, 84 nt
Filed under: Bombyx mori (domestic silkworm)
Lineage: Eukaryota; Metazoa; Arthropoda; Insecta; Lepidoptera; Bombycidae
Description: mir-2807 microRNA precursor family
Rfam family: mir-2807 microRNA precursor family
Source: Rfam by way of RNAcentral
UUAACUCAAGUUUGUAUGGAAUUAUAACGUUUGUCUACGUUUGCCGCUAAGGGCGCUGUUCCAACUUCAAACAAAUUUGAGUUA